RNAcentral lists this ribosomal RNA (433 nucleotides) under uncultured bacterium. RNAcentral's name for it is "partial 16S ribosomal RNA". It matches the Rfam family "Bacterial small subunit ribosomal RNA", at positions 29 to 507 of the family's 1533-position model. The record is from RNAcentral.
AACGAACGCUGGCGGCAUGCCUAACACAUGCAAGUCGAACGAGACCUUCGGGUCUAGUGGCGCACGGGUGCGUAACGCGUGGGAACCUGCCCUUAGGUUCGGAAUAACUCCCCGAAAGGGGUGCUAAUACCGGAUAAUGUCUUCGGACCAAAGAUUUAUCGCCUUUGGAUGGGCCCGCGUUGGAUUAGCUAGUUGGUAGGGUAAAAGCCUACCAAGGCGACGAUCCAUAGCUGGUCUGAGAGGAUGAUCAGCCACACUGGGACUGAGACACGGCCCAGACUCCUACGGGAGGCAGCAGUGGGGAAUAUUGGAAAAUGGGCGAAAGCUUGAUAAAGCAAUGCCGCGUGAAUGAUGAUGGCGUUAGGGUUGUAAAGCUCUUUUACCCGGGAUGAUAAUGACAGUACCGGGAUAAUAAGCACCGGCUAACUCCGUG